UGGGGAAUUUUGGACAAUGGGCGCAAGCCUGAUCCAGCCAUGCCGCGUGUCUGAAGAAGGCCUUCGGGUUGUAAAGGACUUUUGUCAGGGAAGAAAAGGCUGUUGCUAAUAUCGACAGCUGAUGACGGUACCUGAAGAAUAAGCACCGGCUAACUACGUGCCAGCAGCCGCGGUAAUACGUAGGGUGCGAGCGUUAAUCGGAAUUACUGGGCGUAAAGCGAGCGCAGACGGUUACUUAAGCAGGAUGUGAAAUCCCCGGGCUCAACCUGGGAACUGCGUUCUGAACUGGGUGACUAGAGUGUGUCAGAGGGAGGUAGAAUUCCACGUGUAGCAGUGAAAUGCGUAGAGAUGUGGAGGAAUACCGAUGGCGAAGGCAGCCUCCUGGGAUAACACUGACGUUCAUGCUCGAAAGCGUGGGUAGCAAACAGGAUUAGAUACCCUGGUAGUCCACGCCCUAAACGAUGUCAAUUAGCUGUUGGGCAACUUGAUCGCUUAGUAGCGUANCUNACGCGUGAAAUUGACCGCCUGGGGAGUACGGUCGCAAGANU
This 548-nucleotide ribosomal RNA is filed under the name uncultured bacterium. RNAcentral's name for it is "bacterial SSU rRNA". It matches the Rfam family "Bacterial small subunit ribosomal RNA", at positions 355 to 895 of the family's 1533-position model. The record is from RNAcentral.